This 253-nucleotide ribosomal RNA is filed under the name uncultured bacterium. RNAcentral describes it as "partial 16S ribosomal RNA". It matches the Rfam family "Bacterial small subunit ribosomal RNA", at positions 524 to 776 of the family's 1533-position model. The record is from RNAcentral.
UACGUAGGGUGCAAGCGUUGUCCGGAAUUAUUGGGCGUAAAGAGCUCGUAGGCGGUCUGUCACGUCGGCUGUGAAAACCCGAGGCUCAACCUCGGGCCUGCAGUCGAUACGGGCAAACUAGAGUACUGCAGGGGAGACUGGAAUACCUGGUGUAGCGGUGAAAUGCGCAGAUAUCAGGAGGAACACCGGUGGCGAAGGCGGGUCUCUGGGCAGUAACUGACGCUGAGGAGCGAAAGCGUGGGGAGCGAACAGG